Molecule: ribosomal RNA, 2931 nt
Filed under: Escherichia coli
Lineage: Bacteria; Pseudomonadati; Pseudomonadota; Gammaproteobacteria; Enterobacterales; Enterobacteriaceae
Description: bacterial LSU rRNA
Rfam family: Bacterial large subunit ribosomal RNA
Source: RNAcentral
GGGUUGUGAGGUUAAGCGACUAAGCGUACACGGUGGAUGCCCUGGCAGUCAGAGGCGAUGAAGGACGUGCUAAUCUGCGAUAAGCGUCGGUAAGGUGAUAUGAACCGUUAUAACCGGCGAUUUCCGAAUGGGGAAACCCAGUGUGUUUCGACACACUAUCAUUAACUGAAUCCAUAGGUUAAUGAGGCGAACCGGGGGAACUGAAACAUCUAAGUACCCCGAGGAAAAGAAAUCAACCGAGAUUCCCCCAGUAGCGGCGAGCGAACGGGGAGGAGCCCAGAGCCUGAAUCAGUGUGUGUGUUAGUGGAAGCGUCUGGAAAGGCGCGCGAUACAGGGUGACAGCCCCGUACACAAAAAUGCACAUGCUGUGAGCUCGAUGAGUAGGGCGGGACACGUGGUAUCCUGUCUGAAUAUGGGGGGACCAUCCUCCAAGGCUAAAUACUCCUGACUGACCGAUAGUGAACCAGUACCGUGAGGGAAAGGCGAAAAGAACCCCGGCGAGGGGAGUGAAAAAGAACCUGAAACCGUGUACGUACAAGCAGUGGGAGCCUCUUUUAUGGGGUGACUGCGUACCUUUUGUAUAAUGGGUCAGCGACUUAUAUUCUGUAGCAAGGUUAACCGAAUAGGGGAGCCGAAGGGAAACCGAGUCUUAACUGGGCGUUAAGUUGCAGGGUAUAGACCCGAAACCCGGUGAUCUAGCCAUGGGCAGGUUGAAGGUUGGGUAACACUAACUGGAGGACCGAACCGACUAAUGUUGAAAAAUUAGCGGAUGACUUGUGGCUGGGGGUGAAAGGCCAAUCAAACCGGGAGAUAGCUGGUUCUCCCCGAAAGCUAUUUAGGUAGCGCCUCGUGAAUUCAUCUCCGGGGGUAGAGCACUGUUUCGGCAAGGGGGUCAUCCCGACUUACCAACCCGAUGCAAACUGCGAAUACCGGAGAAUGUUAUCACGGGAGACACACGGCGGGUGCUAACGUCCGUCGUGAAGAGGGAAACAACCCAGACCGCCAGCUAAGGUCCCAAAGUCAUGGUUAAGUGGGAAACGAUGUGGGAAGGCCCAGACAGCCAGGAUGUUGGCUUAGAAGCAGCCAUCAUUUAAAGAAAGCGUAAUAGCUCACUGGUCGAGUCGGCCUGCGCGGAAGAUGUAACGGGGCUAAACCAUGCACCGAAGCUGCGGCAGCGACGCUUAUGCGUUGUUGGGUAGGGGAGCGUUCUGUAAGCCUGUGAAGGUGUGCUGUGAGGCAUGCUGGAGGUAUCAGAAGUGCGAAUGCUGACAUAAGUAACGAUAAAGCGGGUGAAAAGCCCGCUCGCCGGAAGACCAAGGGUUCCUGUCCAACGUUAAUCGGGGCAGGGUGAGUCGACCCCUAAGGCGAGGCCGAAAGGCGUAGUCGAUGGGAAACAGGUUAAUAUUCCUGUACUUGGUGUUACUGCGAAGGGGGGACGGAGAAGGCUAUGUUGGCCGGGCGACGGUUGUCCCGGUUUAAGCGUGUAGGCUGGUUUUCCAGGCAAAUCCGGAAAAUCAAGGCUGAGGCGUGAUGACGAGGCACUACGGUGCUGAAGCAACAAAUGCCCUGCUUCCAGGAAAAGCCUCUAAGCAUCAGGUAACAUCAAAUCGUACCCCAAACCGACACAGGUGGUCAGGUAGAGAAUACCAAGGCGCUUGAGAGAACUCGGGUGAAGGAACUAGGCAAAAUGGUGCCGUAACUUCGGGAGAAGGCACGCUGAUAUGUAGGUGAAGCGACUUGCUCGUGGAGCUGAAAUCAGUCGAAGAUACCAGCUGGCUGCAACUGUUUAUUAAAAACACAGCACUGUGCAAACACGAAAGUGGACGUAUACGGUGUGACGCCUGCCCGGUGCCGGAAGGUUAAUUGAUGGGGUUAGCGCAAGCGAAGCUCUUGAUCGAAGCCCCGGUAAACGGCGGCCGUAACUAUAACGGUCCUAAGGUAGCGAAAUUCCUUGUCGGGUAAGUUCCGACCUGCACGAAUGGCGUAAUGAUGGCCAGGCUGUCUCCACCCGAGACUCAGUGAAAUUGAACUCGCUGUGAAGAUGCAGUGUACCCGCGGCAAGACGGAAAGACCCCGUGAACCUUUACUAUAGCUUGACACUGAACAUUGAGCCUUGAUGUGUAGGAUAGGUGGGAGGCUUUGAAGUGUGGACGCCAGUCUGCAUGGAGCCGACCUUGAAAUACCACCCUUUAAUGUUUGAUGUUCUAACGUUGACCCGUAAUCCGGGUUGCGGACAGUGUCUGGUGGGUAGUUUGACUGGGGCGGUCUCCUCCUAAAGAGUAACGGAGGAGCACGAAGGUUGGCUAAUCCUGGUCGGACAUCAGGAGGUUAGUGCAAUGGCAUAAGCCAGCUUGACUGCGAGCGUGACGGCGCGAGCAGGUGCGAAAGCAGGUCAUAGUGAUCCGGUGGUUCUGAAUGGAAGGGCCAUCGCUCAACGGAUAAAAGGUACUCCGGGGAUAACAGGCUGAUACCGCCCAAGAGUUCAUAUCGACGGCGGUGUUUGGCACCUCGAUGUCGGCUCAUCACAUCCUGGGGCUGAAGUAGGUCCCAAGGGUAUGGCUGUUCGCCAUUUAAAGUGGUACGCGAGCUGGGUUUAGAACGUCGUGAGACAGUUCGGUCCCUAUCUGCCGUGGGCGCUGGAGAACUGAGGGGGGCUGCUCCUAGUACGAGAGGACCGGAGUGGACGCAUCACUGGUGUUCGGGUUGUCAUGCCAAUGGCACUGCCCGGUAGCUAAAUGCGGAAGAGAUAAGUGCUGAAAGCAUCUAAGCACGAAACUUGCCCCGAGAUGAGUUCUCCCUGACUCCUUGAGAGUCCUGAAGGAACGUUGAAGACGACGACGUUGAUAGGCCGGGUGUGUAAGCGCAGCGAUGCGUUGAGCUAACCGGUACUAAUGAACCGUGAGGCUUAACCUUACAACGCCGAAGGUGUUU